GCAGUGGUAGCUCAGUGGUUAAGACGUUGGACUACUGAUCGGAAGGUCUUGAUUUCAAAUCUCAGCAAUCUUG
Molecule: non-coding RNA, 73 nt
Organism: Pangasianodon gigas (Mekong giant catfish)
Lineage: Eukaryota; Metazoa; Chordata; Actinopteri; Siluriformes; Pangasiidae
Source: the annotation of a GenBank genome assembly